GUGCUUGCUUCAGCAGUAUUUUACUAAAAAAUCAUUGGAAAAAUAUUAGAGAAGAUUAGCAUGGGCCCUGCACAAGGAUGCCAUGCAACUUCGUGAAGUAUACAUAUAUAUA
Sorex araneus (European shrew) is the source of this 112-nucleotide small nuclear RNA. NCBI's taxonomy places the organism in Eukaryota, Metazoa, Chordata, Mammalia, Eulipotyphla, Soricidae. The record is from Ensembl.